GACGAACGCUGGCGGCGUGCUUAACACAUGCAAGUCGAACGGAAAGGCCCUGCUUUUGUGGGGUGCUCGAGUGGCGAACGGGUGAGUAACACGUGAGUAACCUGCCCUUGACUUUGGGAUAACUUCAGGAAACUGGGGCUAAUACCGGAUAGGAGCUCCUGCUGCAUGGUGGGGGUUGGAAAGUUUCGGCGGUUGGGGAUGGACUCGCGGCUUAUCAGCUUGUUGGUGGGGUGGUGGCUUACCAAGGCUUUGACGGGUAGCCGGCCUGAGAGGGUGACCGGCCACAUUGGGGCUGAGUUACGGCCGAGACUGUUGCGGGAGGCAGGAGUGGGGAGUAUUGCACAAGGGGCGGAGGCCUGAUGCAGCAACGCGGCGUGGGGGAGGACGGCCUUCGGGUGGUAAACCGCUUGCGCCUGUGACGAAGCGUGGGUGACGGUAAUGGGGAAAGAAGCACCGGCUAACUACGU
This 467-nucleotide ribosomal RNA is filed under the name uncultured bacterium. RNAcentral describes it as "partial 16S ribosomal RNA". It matches the Rfam family "Bacterial small subunit ribosomal RNA", at positions 28 to 506 of the family's 1533-position model. The record is from RNAcentral.